Meriones unguiculatus (Mongolian gerbil) is the source of this 131-nucleotide small nucleolar RNA. Lineage: Eukaryota; Metazoa; Chordata; Mammalia; Rodentia; Muridae. The record is from Ensembl.
CCUGCCCCUAGAAGCAUUAUAGGUGUGGCUGCUGCAUCACAUUGUGUCAGUAGGUAAUAGACAGGAGAGCGGCUGCGUCUAUGCUCCGUGUCCUUGCCUAUGAGCAUCUGGAUGAUUAGGACACUAACAUU